ACAUAUGUUUGAUAGACGGUGGUGGCGGCCACUUUGUAUCACGAAACGGAGAAGCCGUUUGCUUUUAGCCAUUGUUGGAUCAUAUCGAAUGGAGUGCCAAAGUGGACACAACUUGUGGCCGAUCUCAAGGCCGGCAAGAAGAGGAAUGAUGGCUCAAGCUCCCACCAAUCUAUUGGGUUGGACGAUGAAGAGGACGAUAUUGUCGUCGAGAAUGGGAGAGCCAUCGUGCCAAAGGAUAAGCGACAAGUCAUGGGAAACAAGUGGGAGAAGGCAAGGUCCUCCUGUGACGCCGCGGCUACAAAAAUGUCCUCCAGAUGGGCCGGCAUUUUUUCGGCGAGGGAGAACAAGAAAGAGGAGAGGUAGAAGCUCAUGUUGGAUGCGCAAAAGGAGAAGAUGGAUGGGGACCGGAAGAGGGUGGAGAAGAAGCUGGAAAUUGAGAGGGAGAAGAUCGAGUUGGAGAAGUAAGAGGCGGCGAUCAAAUGGGAGCUCGAGAAGGCUAAGAAAUUUGUUGAGAUUGAGCUUGAGAAGGAGAGGUUGCAACUCGCAUGGGACGCGGAGGAUGCGAAGAUCAUGUUGGCAGACGAAACCCUCUUGGAUGAGCAUGUAAAGAAGUGGCUUGCAGAGAAGGAGUUCAAUGAGCAUAAGGAGUACGAGGCGGCGAGGGUGGCUGCCGAGAAGGAGUUCAACGAGCACUAGUUUUUAAUUUGUUUCCAUGCUGCUUGGGAUUUUCAUCGCACAAUCCAGUUGCACCUAUAGAUCUUCAUCCCCAUUAUGUAAAACAGAAUCUAGAUCAGAUUAUAAGUUCAUUAUUGCUUAAAUAAUGGUAAUUGAUGCAGAUUUUACACUGUUUCCCACUUUGGAACCUGUUGGUACACUAGUUUUUAAUUUGUUUCCAUGCUGCUUGGGAUUUUCAUCGCACAAUCCAGUUGCACCUAUAGAUCUUCAUCCCCAUUAUGUAAAACAGAAUCUAGAUCAGAUUAUAAGUUCAUUGUUGCUUAAAUAAUGGUAAUUGAUGCAGAUUUUACACUGUUUCCUGUUGCAGCUUUUUUAGAUAAACCUGGUUAAACAAGCUUACUUUAGAAUCACAACAUUACAAACUUUUAUGCCAUAAAAACUGUCAUAGUCCCCUUAGACCUUACCGUAAUCAUGACUGAUGUUGAUGCCUAAUUCUCUACUUGCUGCUUUGUCUUGGAUCCUUGACCUGUAUGGCAUUGGUCACAAGCUUCUGUAGUCACUACGCUUUUACUAAAAUCAGUCAUUUCGCUGUCGUAUGUUGCAGUUAACCGUGAAAUCUGUACGCGACACGAAGGUGGGUGUCAUAUUUGAUCCGCAGUCUUUAAUCCAAGCUCUGACCGGUCUGAUAUCCGAGCACAUGGAUGCAUGCCUCGCGGAACCUGACCCUCUAACUGAAAACGUGACGUCUGUAUGCUGAAUCUCUGAAGGAUGCACUUUCAGCGAUGCUUCCAGACGAUUCCAGUGCCUGCUUCGGUUGCCAGUUCUACUUCCUAUUUGGCACUACUGUGGGAAAGCCAAUAGGGCAAGCUGAUUAAAACAUCUAAAUAUGUGACACUUACGACAGUCUCAGUGCAUUUGUAUCUAAUUAAGUUAUAGCUAGGUACUGUAUAACUGUCCUAGUGGCUUGUAUCUUUGUGUUGUAUCUAAAAUUGUUGAAUUGAGCAUGUCGUUUAUGAUCUACUUGGCAUUUUAACCA
Non-coding RNA from Triticum urartu, 1711 nucleotides. Lineage: Eukaryota; Viridiplantae; Streptophyta; Magnoliopsida; Poales; Poaceae. The record is from RefSeq and is a predicted model, not a curated record.